UGGGGAAUCUUGGACAAUGGGGGCAACCCUGAUCCAGCCAUGCCGCGUGAGUGAUGAAGGCCCUAGGGUCGUAAAGCUCUUCCGCCUGUGAAGAUAAUGACGGUAGCAGGUAAAGAAACCCCGGCUAACUCCGUG
Molecule: ribosomal RNA, 135 nt
Filed under: uncultured bacterium
Lineage: Bacteria
Description: partial 16S ribosomal RNA
Rfam family: Bacterial small subunit ribosomal RNA
Source: RNAcentral